GGGAUUGCCAGUACGGCGAGUGAGCGGCAACAGCUCAAAUUUGAAAUCUGGUCCCUAGGGCCCGAGUUGUAAUUUGUAGAGGAUGCUUUUGGUGAGGUGCCGCCCGAGUUCCCUGGAACGGGACGCCACAGAGGGUGAGAGCCCCGUCUGGCUGGCCGCCGAGCCUCUGUAAAGCUCCUUCGACGAGUCGAGUAGUUUGGGAAUGCUGCUCAAAAUGGGAGGUAUAUGUCUUCUAAAGCUAAAUAUUGGCCAGAGACCGAUAGCGCACAAGUAGAGUGAUCGAAAGAUGAAAAGCACCUUGAAAAGAGGGUUAAAUAGUACGUGAAAUUGUUGAAAGGGAAGCGCUUGUGACCAGACUUGGGCGCGGCGGAUCAUCCGGGGUUCUCUCCGGUGCACUUCGCCGCGUCUAGGCCAGCAUCAGUUCGUCGCGGGGGAAAAAGGCUUCGGGAACGUGGCUCCUCCGGGAGUGUUAUAGCCCGUUGCAUAAUACCCUGCGGUGGACUGAGGACCGCGCAUCUGCAAGGAUGCUGGCGUAAUGGUCACCAGCGAC
RNAcentral lists this ribosomal RNA (550 nucleotides) under Trichoderma harzianum. RNAcentral describes it as "partial large subunit ribosomal RNA". It matches the Rfam family "Eukaryotic large subunit ribosomal RNA", at positions 71 to 648 of the family's 3401-position model. Lineage: Eukaryota; Fungi; Ascomycota; Sordariomycetes; Hypocreales; Hypocreaceae. The record is from RNAcentral.